UGGAACCCAUGGUUUUUUCCCUUUGAGAAUUGCAUAGUUCGGCCAACAUUAAUGGUGCUAAAGUCACUGAAAUGACUGCAUAUGGCUUGGACCAUCUCUCCUCAUCGACAACUGGAACGGUCAAUCUCCUUGGCAAGUAUAAAGGUAACUCCAAAAGAUCCAGAAACUUACCAAAGUAGUAAAAACUUGGUGAAUCAAAGUUGAAAAACUUUGUGGUUUCAUCUUGGUUUUCAUGAGCUCCUUUGUCCACCAUGACAGAUUUUUCAUCACUUGCAUAACCAAGUAACGGUAUACCAACCUCUCCAAUGUUAUCAUUGCUGUUUGAAACAGAAGAAACUGGUACGGAUUCCAUGUUCCUUUCCUUCUUUUUGUUGAAGAAAUGUGAUGCAGAAACAGCACAAACAUACAGGAAGUAGAUGGAGAGGAAAGAAAUAGCUCCCCACAAAGUGAUUUUACCAAUAAAAAUG
RNAcentral lists this long non-coding RNA (467 nucleotides) under Gossypium barbadense (sea-island cotton). Its description in RNAcentral is "long non-coding RNA (GBAR_LNC010640)". The record is from RNAcentral. Lineage: Eukaryota; Viridiplantae; Streptophyta; Magnoliopsida; Malvales; Malvaceae.